CUUUCUUAACAACCCCGAACCCACCACCGCCACCCAUCUUAUUCUCCAUUGACUCCCUUCUCCUUCUAGGGUUUUUCAUUUUCUUCUCCAACUCGUACUUGAUUUUCUCUUGCACAUACUUUGGCACCCCAUCUUGUUUAGAGUACUCCACACAUUCAUUUACGCAUAUAAAUAGGUAAGGAAUUUUAUUAUUUGAAUUGUUUAAUUCCUUCUUUUUAUUUUAUUUUAUUUUUUGUUCAGUUGCUUUAUGAAAUAGAACAUUCCCAAUGUAGUUUUAAAUGUUUUAGUUUCGUUUCUGCAUGGUUUAUUUAUAUGCAAUUUAAUCUUAAUUGUGGAAGCAUGUUGAGAAAAAACAGAGCUUGGUUAAAAAAUUCCUAAAUAACUUGAAUGUCAUCUGUAAUUUCUUGAAUAAAAAAAAGGAUGUCUGGUUUAGAGGGCUUCUCCUUGAACAGUAAAAAUUAUUCCAUGUUUUUUUCAUUAUUUCAUUUUUGUUUGCUUCAAACUGGGAUAUCUGCACAAAAUUAGUUCAAUUGUUAAUAGCAAAUGUACACUUUUUUCUUCAACUAAACACAUGAUGCAGUGACUUGAUUUCUCAAAAAAUAAAGAAAAAUUGGUGUUUUAGGACGAAUAAAGCAUGUAUAUAUAGGCCUAUACAUUCGAAAUCAACGUGUGAGACAUAUCUAAUCCAAGGACCAGAUUUGAACCUAUAGAGUACACUUUUUUUUCUUGAAGCAAUGGUUACACUUCCACCAUCUCAUAUACAUCAUUCAACCAUAGAAUGCCCCCAGGGCACAUCUCCAAGUGGUAAAAGGGGAGGGUGGAGAAAUCCAACUUUGCGUGAGGCUGCUGCGUCAAGAGUUCGAAUCCUGAAAUAUGGAUUUGGCUCUUGGGUAAGUGCAAGUGUACAAGCAGUCUUCCACCCUUGGAGGCAUAACCUGCGAUUUACCUCCCUCACGAUGCUCCAGGGCAGGGGUGGUGGGGGACCCUUAAGGUUAGGGUUUAACCUUUUUUUUUUAACCAUAGAAUAUUGUGCACAGUUUUCUAGGCCUUCUAAUUAAAAGUUUCGAGUCUUAUAACAUUCUAGAACUGAAACAACAAGGCUAUUCAUGAUUGGUUAGGGAAAUUCUUGAUCCCGCAUAAAGCAGGAAAUCCUGACCCAAAUGGUAAGCGGGGCUAGGACGGCAUGGGAGUCUAGUUCCCCAAAUCUUUUUAAUGUGCUUUAUUUUUGUAUUUUCAAAUUUAAUUGUAUUUGAAAAUUGAAAAAUAUUGCCCCUAUCUGUUCCCAACCUGCUUUUUGAAAAAUUUCCGAUUGAGCAAGGAUAUGAUAAUGGGGCUUAGACUCAGUGAAAAUUUACUAGAUGCAUAAACUUUCACAAUCUAGUCAUCUUCUCAUCUAUACAAAAGCCAUGGAAACGAAAUUUAACUGGUCUUUUCUGUAACUUUUUAAGGUACAAAAAAGGACUAAAUAGAGGUUAGACCUUCCUAAAAUCAAUUUGACCAAAUAAACAAGUGGAAAGAAUGUUCUCUUUUUUAUUUUAUUAUUAUUAUUUUUUUUUAUAAUUCUGGUAUCCAAAUUUCGCAUGAUUAAUCCUGAGGAGUGGCAGCCUGCCCCCCAGUUCGUCACCCGGGUAAAUCCGGAUGCAGACACAGCUUAUACACACUUGGACCGGACAUUCGGGAUGCGGUUGACCUCUCUUUAUGACUUGCGGACAGGACCUCGGAGGGCCGACAAAGCGUACAAUAAUUUUGUCUCCACAGGACAACUGUCUUCCAACAUAAAUGCUACCUUCCAGCUGUCGUGGGGAUUCGAACUUCCGAUACUCCGUGUGGAACUCUCCUGCUUUACAAAUGGAAAGAAUGUUCACUAAUAGGUAAGGUGGUCAAUGGUUAGAGACGGGAGGAUUAAUCCAUUUGGUUGAAAUAAUAGAUGACACGUUUAUUAGAAAAACUAUUAGUACUGUACGAUAGUAAAUAAUAGAAGAAAUGAACUUUUUUUUUAUUAUUUUAUCACAUAAUUAUGUUAAAAGAUGCUUUAAACUUGAUAAAAUCCUACGGUUUCACUCUAUGUAUAAUAACCUACGAGUAAAUUUAACCAAUAAUCACUGAACUUUACACUUGAUUACUACUUGCUCAUUCAUCUUUCACAUAUUACUGAAUGCUCACUCAUCUUUUCAUAUAAUUACUCAUUCAUCACUCGUCUCUUCAAAUAAUUGGGCGACUUUUACGGCAAAUUUUCGACAACUUCCGUACACAAAGAAUGUCGAAUUUUGAUACCGUUGGAAAGCCCACGAUGUCCUCUUCAAUUACCACCCAAAAUCUCAGUAUAACUCCAAGGGAUUCGAUCGAAAAAUUGCCUUAAAAGUCGCCCAAAAAUUUUGAAAAUCUGCCAAGAUUUUCAGAUUUUUUGGGCGACUUUUAAGGCAAUUUUUCGGCAACUUUCGACCAUCAAAACUAUCUAAUUUUGAUACCAUUGGAAAGCCCACAAUGUCCUCUUCAAUUACCACCCAAAAUUUCCCGAUAACUCCAAAGGAUUCGGUCGGAAUAAACUCACAAAGUCAACAUCCCGAACUUUGUCCAGAUUUUCGCAUUUUCAAGAUGCUGAUUUUGUGGGUUUAUUCGGACCGAAUCCUUUGGAGUUAUCGGGAAAUUUUGGGUGGUAAUUGAAGAGGACAUUGUGGGCUUUCCAAUGGUAUCAAAAUUAGAUAGUUUUGAUGAUCGAAAAUUGCUUUAAAAGUCGCCCAAAAAUUUUGAAAAUCUUGGCAGAUUUUCAAAAUUUUUGGGCGACUUUUAAGGCAAUUUUUCGAUCGAAUCCCUUGGAGUUAUAAUGAGAUUUUGGGUGGUAAUUGAAGAGGACAUCGUGGGCUUUCCAACGGUAUCAAAAUUCGACAUUCUUUGUGGUCGGAAGUUGUCGAAAAUUUGCCGUAAAAGUCGCCCAAUUAUUUGAAGAGACGGGUGAUGAAUGAGUAAUUAUAUGAAAAGAUAAGUGAGCAUUCAGUAAUAUGUGAAAGAUGAGUGAGCAAGUAGUAAUCAAAUGUAAAGUUCAGUGAUUAUUGGUUAAAUUUACUCAAUAACCUACAUCAAAAGUUCUUCCAUUCUUCCCUUAUAUGGCAUUUUAGGUAAUACAAAUUCAACAAUCUAUACAAUGCUAAGAAAGGAGGAAAAAAAGUUAAGAUCUUGUAUAUUGUAUUAUCCAAUAAAGUUUAAUAUUAAAUACCAAACAUGGGGAUCUCGAAGCAACAAACUGUUAAACAAAAAUAGUGAGAUUAAAAGAAGAAAAACUCAUUAGAGUAAUAGAUUAUUAGAAAUAUUAUUAUUCAAAAAGAGGAAAAUGGAAAUAUUUACAAGUUCAGCAGCAUCAGAAUUAUCGUCUUUAAAUUUUCCUUAAAAAAAAAAAAAAAUUGGUUAUGUAUCAAGAGGUAGUAUGAGAUAAAGAGUAUUUUUUUCUUCCCAAUAGAUCAAAAUAUAUGCAUGAAUUGAUCAACUGCCCAAAUGAGAAUUCUUGAAUAUCCCAUUCCCCAACAAAUAAAAAACUACUCUCGUAGUAGUUACAAAUUCUUGUUGAGCACGUAUAUCAAGUUUCCAAAUCCCACCUGAUGCAUAACUUAUACUGUUGUACCUUUUAAACUAACUCGAUUGUUCUGUUUAUAAUCUAUUUAAAUUAUAAAUAUAUAGAAAUAAAAUAAUAAAUAAGUAUAUAAUAGUUGUAGGUUCCACAAAAUAUGUGAAUGAAAGUGAUUCGCUCAAUAAUAAAUAAAUUAUGAACAGCUGCCAAACGUGCAAUAAUUUACAUCCAUCUACUCGACUAUAAGUUUUGUGUAGUCUUUGAACAAAGGUCCAAUAAACUAAGCAAUUUCUUUUAAAUGAAACUAAAUGAUCACACAAGUGAUUAUCAUAAAUGUGUUGGAUUAUGCUACCAAAACUUUUUAGGGCUAUAUUGGACAUUCAUACUUCUCUUUUAGGUCAUCCUAGUCUCUACAUUAUACGAGGAUACGAGGAAGGGUCAUUUUCCAGUGUACAUGAAAGAUAGAGGUGUGAAAUCUCCCAUUGUGAAACAUUUUGCAUAGAGAGUUGAUAUGGCUCUAUACACUGAGGGUGAUCGAACCACAAAAUGUUACAUUUCGUAGGCUUUGCAACUGCCUCCAGCAUUUAAAAUUUGAGUAUAAAGGCAAGAUAGUUGAAAAAUGAACCAAACUCUAAUUCAUGGGAGAAGUAAAUAAACGAAUCUAAGAAAAGAAUAUCUGUUUUCUCUUAUGUAUGCUCAUCACAUUCAAGUCCUUCCGCUGCUUUUGGCAUAAGCUCUUUUGUGUAAAUGUAGUGUCGUCUCUCCCUUCCAUUUACCACGAAUAAAAGUAGAGAAUUUGUUGAUAACAAUAAAUGACAUGACACUUUUCGAUCAAAUUAUGAGAAUUUAGACAGAAUAAUAUAUUAUAUAACUGAAAAUUUGAAUAAAAUUGUAAAAUCCCGAAUUUUUAACUUAAAUUCGAAUAUAUUUUUAUUUGUCAUUUAAUAGGAAUGCAAUGUUUGGUUAAGUUCUUAUGCAAGUUAAUUGAUUAUCUCUAUAGUUAUCUUAUUAGUUGAGCGACCAAAUUGAAAAAAAAAAAAAUAUCAAAUUAUUUUAUACUUUAUUAAAUGGGCCAAAUAGUUAACUAUUGAAGGAGUUAGAAUUACUCUACCAAUAUUGGGUUCAUUUUGAAGUUCAUAAUAAAUGGCGAAUUAUGGACUCAAGAAAAAUUUAAUUUGGUCAAGUUAAACCCGAGUUUUAGCCGUCUAAAGAAUAUUGUUGUUAUAAGAGUUUUAAAGGAUUAGAUUUUUCGCCAGUUGACUGCCAUCACUAGUUUAGCUAAGUAAAUUAGAAUUUUAAGUUUUGGUUAAACAAAGUCUUUAUAUUAAGUAUUAAUAAUUAUACAUUUUUAAUUAAGAGGUAAUCAAUUAAAACGUAAUUCCUGCUUACAAAUUUAGUUAAAUGCACAUCAAAGGAAUUUGAAUUAUUUGAUGUUAGACUUUAGUACAUGAGUAACCCAUGCAUUUCAUUACAACUUUCACGUGUCCAUAUAAUUAGUAAUCAUUGUGUCCCCUAAUUGGAACAAAUUUUGGGAAGAUUGGACUGAAAUUCUAAUUUAAUUAAUAAGCAUACAUUUUAUAAUUUUCGGCCAUUAGGAGAUUGACAAUUUAAGAUGUUUGUAUUAGAAUAAAUUAUGCAAAUAGGAGGUAGAAUUGUUUUCCCCGUCCACGUGUAAAAGUCAUGCAGUGUAAUACCUAUCAUUUCCUUGUUGUAAUUGUAAUUGAUAUAGAAAUUGGCAGAAAAUCAAUAAUUAAUCUCCAGUCAUACUAUAUCAAUUGGGAAUUAUAAAUCAAUUUCUCAGAAGAUUGCAUGAAAUACGAAUUUAAAUAUGGCUGAAAUUCCACUUCCCCCACGUGAUUACCCGACUUCAACAGUAUAAAUAGAGGACUAAAACCACAUUCUACUACACGUCCAUUACCUCUCCCUCUUUAAAAUAUUCCUCUACAUUACUUAGAUUUUUUAAGGCUUUGGAAUUGCAAUCACAUUUCUGCAAUUUUAUUCUCCACUUUCAUCUUCAAAAGGUGAGAUACUCAGUGCUAUUAGUGGUUUUUCCAAAUCUUUUCAAAUACGUUAUUAUGAAUUUAAUUACUUCAAUUCAGGCUCCUUCGGGAGAAAUCAUGAUACAUUUUAAGGCACAAUUUAGCCUUCACGUUAUUUUGCAGCACUUGCUAGAAUUAUCAUUUGUCAUGGUGUGAUAAUUCUCAUAUUAUGUUGGUAAGAUAAUUUAUUUGUAAUUUCAUGUUUGACUUGAAUAUGGAGUAGCAAGUAUCUCAUUGAGUAUAAUUCGUUAUACUCAUCCCCUUAUUUACAAUUUUCAGGUAAUAAUUAGUAUGCUGGACGGCGGUGGAUAGAUUUGCUAUUGGACCAACGGAUCCUCGUCAUGAAGUAUUUUAAUUUUCAAAAACACUAGAACUAAUAAUGGGUUAUUCAUUUUUGACCCAAUUGUGAGUGCAUUAUAAAUUUUCAAUUAGUUUUAACUGUUCUAAUAAUUUUUGGAUGAAUGAUAUGUUUUCAAACGUUCCGC
RNAcentral lists this long non-coding RNA (6086 nucleotides) under Olea europaea subsp. europaea. Lineage: Eukaryota; Viridiplantae; Streptophyta; Magnoliopsida; Lamiales; Oleaceae. The record is from RNAcentral.